UGUCCGGAAUAUGCAUGAAAUAUUUGCAAAUGGUGAUUAAGGAAACAUUAAUCAACCUUGAUAUUUUCGUUAACACUAUAGAAAUAAAUUUUGUUUUACCUGCAUAUAAUCUUUAAGUGUUGUUACAUCAACUUCAUCCGUUAUCUUAUACUGUUGUUGAAACAUGGCGUCUUGUAACAUUUGGUCGUAGAAUUUUCUGUUUCCCAUAUUCCGUAAAGAAUCUUCUGAUGCCU
This 233-nucleotide long non-coding RNA is filed under the name Mytilus galloprovincialis (Mediterranean mussel). Lineage: Eukaryota; Metazoa; Mollusca; Bivalvia; Mytilida; Mytilidae. The record is from RNAcentral.